RNAcentral lists this ribosomal RNA (436 nucleotides) under uncultured bacterium. RNAcentral's name for it is "partial 16S ribosomal RNA". It matches the Rfam family "Bacterial small subunit ribosomal RNA", at positions 29 to 507 of the family's 1533-position model. The record is from RNAcentral.
AGCGAACGCUGGCGGCAGGCUUAACACAUGCAAGUCGAGCGGGCAUCCUUGUGGUGUCAGCGGCAGACGGGUGAGUAACGCGUGGGGACGUGCCCUUCGGUUCGGAAUAACUCAGGGAAACUUGAGCUAAUACCGGAUACGCCCUUUUGGGGAAAGGUUUACUGCCGAAGGAUCGGCCCGCGUCUGAUUAGCUAGUUGGUGAGGUUAUGGCUCACCAAGGCGACGAUCAGUAGCUGGUCUGAGAGGAUGAUCAGCCACACUGGGACUGAGACACGGCCCAGACUCCUACGGGAGGCAGCAGUGGGGAAUAUUGGACAAUGGGGGCAACCCUGAUCCAGCCAUGCCGCGUGAGUGAUGACGGCCUUAGGGUUGUAAAGCUCUUUUCUCCGGGACGAUAAUGACGGUACCGGAGGAAUAAGCCCCGGCUAACUUCGUG